This is a long non-coding RNA of Gadus macrocephalus (Pacific cod), 491 nucleotides long. RefSeq lists it as uncharacterized. The record is from RefSeq and is a predicted model, not a curated record. The transcript is spliced from 2 exons. Lineage: Eukaryota; Metazoa; Chordata; Actinopteri; Gadiformes; Gadidae.
UAAUGUCAGCCAUUAAAAACUAUUGGACAACACUAUGUUUCAUGUUAAACUAUGUCUGAAACAAUACUUUUAACAACACUGUCAAAAAUGAAUGGCCUGUGAACUCCAAGGCCCCAGGGAAACAAUAGAUAGGAAGUUGAUACAACCGUCUACUUUCAUUAAAUUAAUACAUAAAAAGUAAAAAGUAUAUAAGUAAUUAAAAAGUGUCAAUGUACUUGAAUUUCACAUAGAUAUCCAGCAGGUAAAUUCAGAAAUGUGCAGUUUCUUAGCAUGCCCCCGGAACCGCAACAAAGACCUUGGCAGAUAAGAAGCUUCUAGAAUAGAGUUCCUUUCAAUCCCUUAAUGCGAUGCGCCUCUAGAGUAUGCUGUGGCAAACAGAAGAGCUUGACGGAGCAGGGCUUUAGGAAGCCUGGCAUAUUUCCGUCCAGCGUGUUGACUCUUUCUGGGGCUUCAGACGUAGAGCCUGUUUCCUGUCUCUCUGUUCCAGUGUG